RNAcentral lists this ribosomal RNA (550 nucleotides) under uncultured bacterium. RNAcentral's name for it is "bacterial SSU rRNA". It matches the Rfam family "Bacterial small subunit ribosomal RNA", at positions 355 to 896 of the family's 1533-position model. The record is from RNAcentral.
UAGGGAAUCUUCGGCAAUGGACGGAAGUCUGACCGAGCAACGCCGCGUGAGUGAAGAAGGUUUUCGGAUCGUAAAGCUCUGUUGUAAGAGAAGAACGAGUGUGAGAGUGGAAAGUUCACACUGUGACGGUAUCUUACCAGAAAGGGACGGCUAACUACGUGCCAGCAGCCGCGGUAAUACGUAGGUCCCGAGCGUUGUCCGGAUUUAUUGGGCGUAAAGCGAGCGCAGGCGGUUAGAUAAGUCUGAAGUUAAAGGCUGUGGCUUAACCAUAGUACGCUUUGGAAACUGUUUAACUUGAGUGCAAGAGGGGAGAGUGGAAUUCCAUGUGUAGCGGUGAAAUGCGUAGAUAUAUGGAGGAACACCGGUGGCGAAAGCGGCUCUCUGGCUCGUAACUGACGCUGAGGCUCGAAAGCGUGGGGAGCAAACAGGAUUAGAUACCCUGGUAGUCCACGCCGUAAACGAUGAGUGCUAGGUGUUAGACCCUUUCCGGGGUUUAGUGCCGUAGCUAACGCAUUAAGCACUCCGCCUGGGGAGUACGACCGCAAGGUUG